AACCUACCCUUCAGAGGGGGACAACAGUUGGAAACGACUGCUAAUACCGCAUACGAUCUGACCUCGGCAUCGAGGAUGGAUGAAAGGUGGCCUCUAUUUAUAAGCUAUCACUGAAGGAGGGGAUUGCGUCUGACUAGCUAGUUGGAGGGGUAACGGCCCACCAAGGCGAUGAUCAGUAGCCGGUCUGAGAGGAUGAACGGCCACAUUGGGACUGAGACACGGCCCAGACUCCUACGGGAGGCAGCAUG
Molecule: ribosomal RNA, 248 nt
Filed under: uncultured bacterium
Lineage: Bacteria
Description: partial 16S ribosomal RNA
Rfam family: Bacterial small subunit ribosomal RNA
Source: RNAcentral